AGUACCGGUCGCCGUGUUCGCCGCUGCUCUCCGCCGUUUCGGGAACGGGGUAGUCCACCGAAGGGGGACAUCUUGAAGAGAAGCAGCUCGACCUAGCGAUGCAGUUGUUGAUUUUGGUCAUCGCCUGUGAGGGCAGCAUCCGAGCGUAAGAGGAAUCUAGGAGCCGUAUCGAAAAGAGGUGGAAGCAAUGAUAGCAAAUGCUGACAAAGAGCAAAGCCGGACGAGUGGUUUUUUGCGCUUAGUCCCUAAGGGGCGGGCUGAAACGAGGAAGCAAAAAUGCAGCAGCGGACCCUCGAUCUCCCCAGAAGCUGCGGCAGUAGGAGGCGUUCUGGCCUGGGUAACUAAGGCGUUCGGAACAUCGGGGAACGACUGUAUGCUGCCGUGAAGAACUACAGGCUCCCGCCCUCAGCCCUUUGCAAGUUAUCAGGUGUCAAGAGCGGCCAGGAGACUCCAAAUGCCGGCGGAAAGGUUCUCUGCCCGGUCCUGACGAGGAGCCUUCGGCCGUAGGAAGGUCGGCGGCGUCCUUACCGGACUCGUGAGUAAUAAGCCGCAAUUCACGGAGCAGCGGGGUGGGGAAUAGCGCCUGGUAGCCCAGCGGCUACGGCGUUGCUGUUGCUAGCAGGGCCCCAAGGUCUGUGUGAAGCCUCAGUUGCCUGUUGGGAGCUUUAUUUUGGUGUGUUUACCUGGAAAAAG
This 693-nucleotide long non-coding RNA is filed under the name Apteryx rowi (Okarito brown kiwi). Its description in RNAcentral is "lncRNA (ENSARWG00000018270.1)". The record is from RNAcentral. Lineage: Eukaryota; Metazoa; Chordata; Aves; Apterygiformes; Apterygidae.